RNAcentral lists this ribosomal RNA (434 nucleotides) under uncultured bacterium. Its description in RNAcentral is "partial 16S ribosomal RNA". It matches the Rfam family "Bacterial small subunit ribosomal RNA", at positions 27 to 507 of the family's 1533-position model. The record is from RNAcentral.
GAACGAACGCUGGCGGCAUGCCUAACACAGGCAAGUCGAACGAGACCUUCGGGUCUAGUGGCGCACGGGUGCGUAACGCGUGGGAACCUGCCCUGAGGUUCGGAAUAACUCCCCGAAAGGGGUGCUAAUACCGGAUAAUGUCUUCGGACCAAAGAUUUAUCGCCUUUGGAUGGGCCCGCGUUGGAUUAGCUAGUUGGUAGGGUAAAAGCCUACCAAGGCGACGAUCCAUAGCUGGUCUGAGAGGAUGAUCAGCCACACUGGGACUGGGACCCGGCCCAGACUCCUACGGGAGGCAGCAGUGGGGAAUAGUGGACCAUGGGCGAAGGCCUGAUCCAGCAAUGCCGCGUGAGUGAUGAAGGCCUUAGGGUUGUAAAGCUCUUUUACCCGGGAUGAUAAUGACGGUACCGGGAGAAUAAGCUCCGGCUAACUCCGUG